AAAAUUGAAAUCACGGUUUUAUAAUUAGAUUGAGAAAACUUAGCAUCGGUGCAGUAAAUAAUAACAAUAACAAAAGCGUGGAAAGAUAGAAACGGCAACCUCAAACCCAACUUGAGUUUUUUUUUUUUGAUAACAAAAGGCGAGUUGAAGUUAUAAUAGAUGCAUGUACAUGAGUAAUGAGUUGCGGCAUGCCGACAUUGACUAUAUAUCAAACGUCUCAUCUUCUCCCUAAAAGUAAAUAAUUAAAGACCUUUUAACUACUCUUAGUCAAAUAAAUACGAAGUGUCGAUCAUAAUUUUGAUUUGUAGACCCUUUAACAAUAAUAAAUAAUAAAUAAUAAAUAAUAAUAAAAAUAUAAUAAUGGCAGACGAAAUUCCUUUGUCCUUGAGUGUGAACUUGAGUUGCUCCGAGGUUGAUGGUGAUAAUGAUAAGAAAGUAGAAAUUGAAGUUGGGUUAUCAUCAUUAAGUGUAUCUCCUAAGAAGGAGAAGAAGCUGUUAGUUCUUGAUUUGAAUGGCUUGCUCAUUCAUGGUACUCACCGCGCCAAUAAGUUUGAUAUCCCUCUCGAUCAAUCGCCGUCCUGAUGCUGUCUAUGGCCAACGCUUAGUUUAUAAGAGGCCUUUCCUUGACGAGUUCUUGAAAUUCUGCCUUGAGAGGUUUGAAGUAGGCAUAUGGUCUUCCGCGAAAGAGUAUGUUAUUCAUCAAUUCAUGCAUUAUAUAUCUUUGAAUUAAUCUACUUUUACAAAUGACAACUUAAGGUAAUUUAAUGAAUGUCAACAUUGAUGGCAUCUUUGACUGUGUUUUCAAGGAAUUGAGGAGCAGCUUCUUGUUUGUUUGGGUAACUCAUUACUGAUGAUUCUAUCAAGUUAUUUGAGUUUACUGUAAUAGUUGGUUUAGUGUAUUGAUUUGUCGUUGAUAUUAUAUAUAGGACCAAAAAAGAUGUUCUGAUUUUGGGUUUAAGGCAUUAGGGAACAAAUACAAACCACUUUUUUCAAAGAGCUCAACAAACUUUGGGAGACCUUGGCGCCUUUUAGAGAAUCAAAUACUUUGUUGAUAGAUGAUGCACCUCACAAAAGCCUCCUUAAUCCGCCAAACACCGCCAUAUUUCCCAGGGUAUAUGAUGCAGGAAAUCUGAAUGAUGAUUUUUUAGAUCCAAAGAGGGGCCUGUGUUCCUAUCUACAAGGGUUAGCAGAUGCCGAGGAUGUUCCAUCAUAUGUCAAAGCAAAUUGUUUCGGACAGCCUGCUAUAGGACCCCAACACCCUAAUUGGACCUUCUACUCCAAAGUUCUGCGUUGUGCCACGCCACCACUCAUUAGUCAUUACCCAACCAGGCUAAUUUUGCAAACAACCUGAAUAAACUAUCAAAAUGACUCUUAGGAUAAAUCUGCUGAUAUAAACUUUGCUAUGUAACGCCUGUGUUUUGUGAUUUCAGAUACAAAAUAUUCCGUCUUAUUAUUCAGCGUCAUGGAUAUGAUGGCUAUUAUUAUCAUGUAUAUAAGUGUAUAAUCUCCAACUUGUGCAAAAAGUGUUGAAAUAGUCAACAGAAAGGCCACCUCAUAGUAUUAUUAGGUUGUUUUUUUGUUUACAAAUGUUUACCAACCAAUUCAAUAAAUCGACCAUUAAGCUAGGUUAUUCGUACGGAGUAUUAU
Long non-coding RNA from Spinacia oleracea (spinach), 1647 nucleotides. RefSeq lists it as uncharacterized. The record is from RefSeq and is a predicted model, not a curated record. Lineage: Eukaryota; Viridiplantae; Streptophyta; Magnoliopsida; Caryophyllales; Amaranthaceae. The transcript is spliced from 4 exons.